Molecule: ribosomal RNA, 878 nt
Filed under: Teratosphaeria cryptica
Lineage: Eukaryota; Fungi; Ascomycota; Dothideomycetes; Mycosphaerellales; Teratosphaeriaceae
Description: eukaryotic LSU rRNA
Rfam family: Eukaryotic large subunit ribosomal RNA
Source: RNAcentral
GCGGAGGAAAAGAAACCAACAGGGAUUGCCCUAGUAACGGCGAGUGAAGCGGCAACAGCUCAAAUUUGAAAUCUGGCGCAAGCCCGAGUUGUAAUUUGUAGAGGAUGCUUCAGGGCAGCGGCCGGUCUAAGUUCCUUGGAACAGGACGUCAUAGAGGGUGAGAAUCCCGUAUGCGACCGGUUGGCACCCGUCACGUAGCUCCUUCGACGAGUCGAGUUGUUUGGGAAUGCAGCUCUAAAUGGGAGGUAAAUUUCUUCUAAAGCUAAAUACCGGCCAGAGACCGAUAGCGCACAAGUAGAGUGAUCGAAAGAUGAAAAGCACUUUGGAAAGAGAGUUAAAAAGCACGUGAAAUUGUUGAAAGGGAAGCGCAUGCAACCAGACUUGUCGGCGGUGUUCCGCCGGUCUUCUGACCGGUCCAUUCGCCGCCGACAGGCCAGCAUCAUCUGGGCGCGCCGGAUAAAGGCGUAGGGAAUGUGGCUCCUCGGAGUAUUAUAGCCCCGCGCACAAUACGGCGCCGCUCGGGUGAGGUCCGCGCUUCGGCUAGGAUGCUGGCGUAAUGGUUGUCUGCGGCCCGUCUUGAAACACGGACCAAGGAGUCUAACAUCUAUGCGAGUGUUCGGGCGUCAAACCCCUACGCGUAAUGAAAGUGAACGGAGGUGGGAAGCGCAAGCUGCACCAUCGACCGAUCCUGAUGUCUUCGGAUGGAUUUGAGUAAGAGCAUAGCUGUUGGGACCCGAAAGAUGGUGAACUAUGCCUGAAUAGGGUGAAGCCAGAGGAAACUCUGGUGGAGGCUCGCAGCGGUUCUGACGUGCAAAUCGAUCGUCAAAUUUGGGUAUAGGGGCGAAAGACUAAUCGAACCAUCUAGUAGCUGGUUCCUG